UACGUAGGGUGCGAGCGUUAAUCGGAAUUACUGGGCGUAAAGCGUGCGCAGGCGGUUCGCCAAGUCAGGUGUGAAAUCCCCGGGCUUAACCUGGGAAUUGCGCUUGAAACUAGCGGGCUUGAGUGUGGCAGAGGGGGGUGGAAUUCCACGUGUAGCAGUGAAAUGCGUAGAGAUCGGGAAGAACAUCAGUGGCGAAGGCGGCCUGCUGGGCUGUUGCUGACGCUGAGGCGCGACAGCGUGGGGAGCAAACAGG
Molecule: ribosomal RNA, 253 nt
Filed under: uncultured prokaryote
Description: partial 16S ribosomal RNA
Rfam family: Bacterial small subunit ribosomal RNA
Source: RNAcentral